Molecule: ribosomal RNA, 253 nt
Filed under: uncultured bacterium
Lineage: Bacteria
Description: partial 16S ribosomal RNA
Rfam family: Bacterial small subunit ribosomal RNA
Source: RNAcentral
CACGGGGGGAGCAAGCGUUGUUCGGAAUCACUGGGCGUAAAGGGCGCGUAGGCGGGAUGGCAAGUCAGUCGUGAAAUCUCUCGGCUCAACCGAGAAACGUCGGCUGAUACUGCCGUUCUUGAGGGAUGCAGAGGAGACUGGAAUUCCCGGUGUAGCGGUGAAAUGUGUAGAGAUCGGGAGGAACACCGGUGGCGAAGGCGGGUCUCUGGGCAUCUCCUGACGCUGAGGCGCGAAAGCGUGGGGAGCAAACGGG